Molecule: ribosomal RNA, 253 nt
Filed under: uncultured bacterium
Lineage: Bacteria
Description: partial 16S ribosomal RNA
Rfam family: Bacterial small subunit ribosomal RNA
Source: RNAcentral
UACGUAGGGUGCAAGCGUUACUCGGAAUUACUGGGCGUAAAGCGUGCGUAGGUGGUUUGUUAAGUCUGUUGUGAAAGCCCCGGGCUCAACCUGGGAAUGGCAAUGGAUACUGGCAGGCUAGAGUGCGGUAGAGGGUAGUGGAAUUCCCGGUGUAGCGGUGAAAUGCGUAGAGAUCGGGAGGAACACCAAUUGCGAAGGCAGCUUACUACAGGAAUAUUGACACUGAUGCACGAAAGCGUGGGGAUCAAACAGG